Molecule: ribosomal RNA, 1406 nt
Filed under: metagenome
Description: bacterial SSU rRNA
Rfam family: Bacterial small subunit ribosomal RNA
Source: RNAcentral
GAUUGCAGUGGCGGACGGGUGAGGAACACGUAAGAACUUACCUUUUGGCGGGGGAUAACAACGGGAAACUGUUGCUAAUACCCCAUAAUGCUGAGGAGCGAAAGGGAAACUGCCAAGAGAGAGGCUUGCGUCUGAUUAGCUAGUUGGAGGAGGUAAAUGCUCCCCAAGGCGACGAUCAGUAGCUGGUCUGAGAGGAUGAUCAGCCACACUGGGACUGAGACACGGCCCAGACUCCUACGGGAGGCAGCAGUGGGGAAUUUUCCACAAUGGGCGAAAGCCUGAUGGAGCAAUACCGCGUGAGGGAUGAAGGAUCGUGGUCUGUAAACCUCUUUUCUUAAGGAAGAAUAAAUGACGGUACUUAAGGAAUAAGCACCGGCUAACUCCGUGCCAGCAGCCGCGGUAAUACGGGGGGUGCAAGCGUUGUCCGGAAUGAUUGGGCGUAAAGCAUCUGUAGGUGGUUUUUAAAGUCAACUGUUAAAGCCCAGGGCUUAACUUUGGAAAAGCGGUUGAGCACUUAAGGACUCGAGUAUGGUAGGGGUAGAGGGAAUUCCUUGUGGAGCGGUGAAAUGCACAGAGAUAAGGAAGAACACCGAAGGCGAAAGCACUCUACUGGGCCAUGACGGACACUGAGAGAUGAAAGUCGGGGGAGCGAAAAGGAUUAGAUACCCUUGUAGUCCCGACUGUAAACGAUGGAUACUAAGUGCUGACAAAAUCAGUGCUGUAGCUAACGCGUUAAGUAUCCCGCCUGGGGAGUAUGCUCGCAAGAGUGAAACUCAAAGGAAUUGACGGGAAUUGGCACAAGCGGUGGAUUAUGCGGUUUAAUUCGACGAUACACGAAGAACCCUACCAGGGAUUGACAUGUUCAGAACUUUUGAGAGAUUGAAAGGUGCCCUUGUCCUGUCUAACAAGCCGAGGGAGCUGAAACACAGGUGGUGCAUGGCUGUCGUCAGCUCGUGCGGUGACGUGUCGAGUUAAGUCUUUAAACGAGCGCAACCCUUGUCUUUUGUUACCACUUUCUUUAUGAAAGGACUCAAAAGAGACUGCCGGUGUAAAUCGGAGGAAGGAGAGGAUGACGUCAAGUCAGCAUGCCCCUUACAUCCUGGGCUACACGCGUAAUACAAUGGCAAAGACAACAGGACGCGAACCCGUGAGGGGGAGCAAAUCCCAUAAACUUUGUCUCAGUUCGGAUUGAAGUCUGCAACUCGACUUCAUGAAGCCGGAAUCGCUAGUAAUCGCCGGUCAGCUAUACGGCGGUGAAUACGUUCCCCAAUUUUGUACACACCGCCCGUCACAUGCUGGGAGCCGUCUUGUCCCAAAGACAGGUUGUGAACCUCACUUUCCUUCGGAAAGAGGAGGAUGCGAAUGUCAACGGUUGGGUCGGUGACUAAUAUGAAGUCGGAACAAGG